Molecule: long non-coding RNA, 1358 nt
Organism: Mastomys coucha (southern multimammate mouse)
Lineage: Eukaryota; Metazoa; Chordata; Mammalia; Rodentia; Muridae
Exons: 2
Source: RefSeq, a predicted model, not a curated record
AGUUUCUCUCCCUCUUCCAGGAAGUGUGAGGCCUCAGGAGCCCCCAACAGCGUCUGAAGGAAUAGUCCUAAUUUUAAUUUUAAAGAAGCCUUUGACUGUUCUAUUUUGACUCUUUUAUUAAUUAGGCUACAUAAACUUUGGCACUUCUCUUUUUUGUUAGGAAAACUAUAUUUAGGGCAAGGAAACCCGAAAGUCUCAGCCGAGAACAUUUACAAGUACUGUAUUUUACGGACGAAAAUCCCCUUGCCAGGCUGGCGCUCAACUGCAAAAAAGACUCAGCAUGAGAAGACAGACCUUGGCUCUACACUGGAACUCUAGUUCUGUCCUUCCUGACACAUUCUGGAGCCUGCAGGAGCUGACAGCCACAGUUCCCACACAGCUACAGUCAGAGUAGGCCACUGUCUGCACAGUCUCAGGCAGGCACGGACCCUCUCCCGGAGUGCCCCCCAAACCAGGUGGGGCUCAAGCUCUGGCACUGUCAAUAGCUUCAUGUGUAGGCUGUGGGACCUGCUAGACCCUUAAGGCAAGCCGACAGGAUUGCUAAAGUUUCAGGCUGUCCACAGGAUAUCAAUGGUAACCCACUUACGAUCAUUAUCAUGCAACAUAGCAAGGCAGUAAUUGCACCAAUCCCAUCCUCUUUCUGAAGCCAUCAUGCUAAUUAAUUAGCAAGGCCUCUCUUUGCUAGAGAGCCAGAUAACAACAGUAUUUGCAACAGGACCUGAACACUCUAGUGAAGAUCUGCCCUUGGAGCAGCCGGUGCUGGAGUUGCGGCUGGCUAGUGGUGCGUGAACUCGCCUGAAAAGCCGUCCACAAGAUAGUAUUUGACGCCUGCUGUCAGAAGGCACGGUGGCUGUAGCAGUUGAGGAUGGACUGCCAACGGAGUGCCCUCCUGAAGGGAAGGCUGCUUGGUGGAGACCCUCCUGAAGGGAUGGCUCUCACCCAUGUGAGAGGCUGGAGACAGGGCUCAGCACUUACGAGUGCUUGCUGAUGAAGUGUAAGCAGAAGAGCGGGGAUCCCAGAACCCACAUUAGGUGGGUUGUCAAGGCCUGCAACUCCAGCUCCAUGGGAUACUAGAUGUUCCGGCUUCUGUAGGUGCCUGUACACAUGUGUAUGCACACAUACAGACACACACACGGAGAUACAUGUAUGCACACAUAAAAAGACCCACUUGAAAAUAGUAUGUUUUCAUUAUAAUAAAGAAAAAUAAGAGACGAGUGUCUGAUUAUAACUGGGGCACAUGGAAAUAGUGGUUUUUUUUUAAAAAAAGAAUAAUUAGAAGUGUUAAGUAUUCUGAAACAUCUUAUGAGAAUGUAUUCAUAACUUUCUUGAUAAAUAAUUAAUAAAACAAUUCAAAUCCA